This is a non-coding RNA of Denitrobacterium detoxificans, 114 nucleotides long. The record is from Rfam. Lineage: Bacteria; Bacillati; Actinomycetota; Coriobacteriia; Eggerthellales; Eggerthellaceae.
GAGCGCGACCAUGGAGAGGGGGAUCACCCGAUCCCAUUCCGAACUCGGCAGUUAAGCCCCUCCUCGCCGAAAGUACUGCGGUGUAGUCCGUGGGAGGAUAGGGCGUCGCGCUCA